This 301-nucleotide ribosomal RNA is filed under the name uncultured bacterium. RNAcentral describes it as "partial 16S ribosomal RNA". It matches the Rfam family "Bacterial small subunit ribosomal RNA", at positions 509 to 809 of the family's 1533-position model. The record is from RNAcentral.
CAGUAGCCGCGGUAAUACAGAGGGUGCAAGCGUUAAUCGGAAUUACUGGGCGUAAAGCGCGCGUAGGUGGUUUGUUAAGUUGGAUGUGAAAUCCCCGGGCUCAACCUGGGAACUGCAUCCAAAACUGGCAAGCUAGAGUAUGGUAGAGGGUGGUGGAAUUUCCUGUGUAGCGGUGAAAUGCGUAGAUAUAGGAAGGAACACCAGUGGCGAAGGCGACCACCUGGACUGAUACUGACACUGAGGUGCGAAAGCGUGGGGAGCAAACAGGAUUAGAUACCCCUGUAGUCCCUGUCUCUUAUAU